RNAcentral lists this ribosomal RNA (492 nucleotides) under uncultured bacterium. RNAcentral's name for it is "partial 16S ribosomal RNA". It matches the Rfam family "Bacterial small subunit ribosomal RNA", at positions 29 to 507 of the family's 1533-position model. The record is from RNAcentral.
AGUGAACGCUGGCGGUAGGCCUAACACAUGCAAGUCGAACGGCAGCACAGUAAGAGCUUGCUCUUACGGGUGGCGAGUGGCGGACGGUUGAGGAAUACAUCGGAAUCUACUUUUUCGUGGGGGAUAACGUAGGGAAACUUACGCUAAUACCGCAUACGACCUACGGGUGAAAGCAGGGGAUCUUCGGACCUUGCGCGAUUGAAUGAGCCGAUGUCGGAUUAGCUAGUUGGCGGGGUAAAGGCCCACCAAGGCGACGAUCCGUAGCUGGUCUGAGAGGAUGAUCAGCCACACUGGAACUGAGACACGGUCCAGACUCCUACGGGAGGCAGCAGUGGGGAAUAUUGGACAAUGGGCGCAAGCCUGAUCCAGCAAUACCGCGUGGGUGAAGAAGGCCUUCGGGUUGUAAAGCCCUUUUGUUGGGAAAGAAAAGCAGCAGGUUAAUACCCCGCUGUUCUGACGGUACCCAAAGAAUAAGCACCGGCUAACUUCGUG